UACGGGGGGGGCAAGCGUUGUUCGGAAUUACUGGGCGUAAAGGGCUCGUAGGCGGCCAACUAAGUCAGACGUGAAAUCCCUCGGCUUAACCGGGGAACUGCGUCUGAUACUGGAUGGCUUGAGGUUGGGAGAGGGAUGCGGAAUUCCAGGUGUAGAGGUGAAAUUCGUAGAUAUCGGGAGGAACACCAGUGGCGAAGGCGGCGACCUGGGCCAAUACUGACGCUGAGGUGCGAAAGCGUGGGGAGCAAACAGG
Molecule: ribosomal RNA, 253 nt
Filed under: uncultured bacterium
Lineage: Bacteria
Description: partial 16S ribosomal RNA
Rfam family: Bacterial small subunit ribosomal RNA
Source: RNAcentral